Molecule: ribosomal RNA, 253 nt
Filed under: uncultured bacterium
Lineage: Bacteria
Description: partial 16S ribosomal RNA
Rfam family: Bacterial small subunit ribosomal RNA
Source: RNAcentral
UACGGAGGGGGCGAGUGUUGUUCGGAAUUACUGGGCGUAAAGGGCGCGCAGGCGGCCGGGCCAGUCGAGUGUGAAAGCCCUUGGCUUAACCAAGGAAUGGCGCUCGAAACUACCCGGCUGGAGGGCGGGAGAGGGAAGUGGAACUCUCGGUGUAGGGGUGAAAUCUGUAGAGAUCGAGAGGAACACCGGUGGCGAAGGCGGCUUCCUGGCCCGUACCUGACGCUGAGGCGCGAAAGCGUGGGGAGCAAACAGG